This 83-nucleotide transfer RNA is filed under the name Morchella angusticeps. Its description in RNAcentral is "tRNA-Arg". It matches the Rfam family "tRNA". Rfam says of the family: Transfer RNA (tRNA) molecules are approximately 80 nucleotides in length. Their secondary structure includes four short double-helical elements and three loops (D, anti-codon, and T loops). Lineage: Eukaryota; Fungi; Ascomycota; Pezizomycetes; Pezizales; Morchellaceae. RNAcentral also lists the same sequence under 14 other names. The record is from RNAcentral.
GGUUGCGUGGCCUAAUGGUUAAGGCGCUGGUUUUCGGCUUUGUCUAUCACCAGAGAUUGGGGGUUCGAGUCCUCCCGCGAUCG